This 71-nucleotide transfer RNA is filed under the name Loxodonta africana (African savanna elephant). It matches the Rfam family "tRNA". From Rfam's summary of the family: Transfer RNA (tRNA) molecules are approximately 80 nucleotides in length. Their secondary structure includes four short double-helical elements and three loops (D, anti-codon, and T loops). The record is from Rfam by way of RNAcentral. Lineage: Eukaryota; Metazoa; Chordata; Mammalia; Proboscidea; Elephantidae.
GCCUUGGUGGUUCAGUGGUAGAAUUCUUGCCUCUCAUGCACAAGACCUGGGUUCGAUUCCCAGCCAGUGCA